CAACUUUUUAUAAACGAAUUGUAAUUUCUGAAGUAAUACAUAUUUACUUAGAAUUCACUAAAUUCACUAAAAAAAACUGAAAUAAUUUGAAUUGUUUAGUGUAAAAUGUAUCUAAAUAACACAGUCACAGGUUGUAGUUUUCAUCUUGGAUGAACAUGGUUUGAAAAAAUACAAAAUUUAGGUUUAUAGUUAAUGAUGACAAAGAUAGGUCAACCAAGAUAGGAAAAUGGUUUAACACAGUUUUUUGGAAUCGCAAAUUCAUCCAGUGGAGAAAGUUGAGGACAGUUUGGCUGAUGAUAUAAUGUCAAAUGCUCCUGUAAAUUAAAGCUGCAACAAAAUUGCCACUUUUUUUAGUGUGGACAGCUGUGCAUCAUGAAAUAAAAUAUUGAGGUUAUUUCCGGAUAAAAUCACAGGUAAAAACUCAUGUGAAUUACAGUUAAUGUUUACAACUUGUUUCUUGAAGAUUAUGUCAAGCUCUAAAUGUUUUCUUGUGACUUUGAGUUGCUGUUCUUAAAUAUAGGUACAUCUCUUUUUAAUUCAAAUACUAUUAAAUUUUUAAAGACUUUUUCCAAACACUCUUGCACAGAAAUAAUAGACCACACAACCAUUUUUUUUUGUGGUGAUGAACUCAGAAUAUUGCUAUUAAAAAAAAAGUUUUGCAGUUGAAAGUUUUAAGUUUUCCAGAUGGAAAAAGUGUUAGAUAAAGUAGGUUUUCUUCAACUGUUUCAUUGGAGAAGUACACAUUCCAAAACCUAGUAUUCUUCAAUAGCUGUAACAAGAAUAUAUCUAAAAUGAUAAAAAUGGAUAAACAGCAUAUGAAGUUUGAACUUCUUGGUAACACAAGUAUGCAGAGUCAUCAGAAGUGUUACAUCUAAAUUGAUCUGAAACACACUCGAUAAUGUGAACUGUUAAACAAACAAAAAAUGAAAGAAAGAAGACAGCAGAUUAAG
Molecule: long non-coding RNA, 950 nt
Filed under: Mytilus galloprovincialis (Mediterranean mussel)
Lineage: Eukaryota; Metazoa; Mollusca; Bivalvia; Mytilida; Mytilidae
Source: RNAcentral